GGGUUGUGAGGUUAAGCGACUAAGCGUACACGGUGGAUGCCCUGGCAGUCAGAGGCGAUGAAGGACGUGCUAAUCUGCGAUAAGCGCCGGUAAGGUGAUAUGAACCGUUAUAACCGGCGAUUUCCGAAUGGGGAAACCCAGUGUGACUCGUCACACUAUCAUUAACUGAAUCCAUAGGUUAAUGAGGCGAACCGGGGGAACUGAAACAUCUAAGUACCCCGAGGAAAAGAAAUCAACCGAGAUUCCCCCAGUAGCGGCGAGCGAACGGGGAGGAGCCCAGAGCCUGAAUCAGCAUGUGUGUUAGUGGAAGCGUCUGGAAAGGCGCGCGAUACAGGGUGACAGCCCCGUACACAAAAGCGCAUGUGCUGUGAGCUCGAUGAGUAGGGCGGGACACGUGGUAUCCUGUCUGAAUAUGGGGGGACCAUCCUCCAAGGCUAAAUACUCCUGACUGACCGAUAGUGAACCAGUACCGUGAGGGAAAGGCGAAAAGAACCCCGGCGAGGGGAGUGAAAAAGAACCUGAAACCGUGUACGUACAAGCAGUGGGAGCCCCACCACUAAGCCAGUGGUGAACUCCACAUACGCAUCCUUUGCUGAGGAUACGGUUAACGGAGCGAAAGCGACGUUCAACCUCAAAAGAAGCAGAGGGGGCUUAGUGGUGGGGUGACUGCGUACCUUUUGUAUAAUGGGUCAGCGACUUAUAUUCUGUAGCAAGGUUAACCGAAUAGGGGAGCCGGAGGGAAACCGAGUCUUAAUUGGGCGUUAAGUUGCAGGGUAUAGACCCGAAACCCGGUGAUCUAGCCAUGGGCAGGUUGAAGGUUGGGUAACACUAACUGGAGGACCGAACCGACUAAUGUUGAAAAAUUAGCGGAUGACCUGUGGCUGGGGGUGAAAGGCCAAUCAAACCGGGAGAUAGCUGGUUCUCCCCGAAAGCUAUUUAGGUAGCGCCUCGUGAAUUCAUCUCCGGGGGUAGAGCACUGUUUCGGCUAGGGGGCCAUCCCGGCUUACCAACCCGAUGCAAACUGCGAAUACCGGAGAAUGUUAUCACGGGAGACACACGGCGGGUGCUAACGUCCGUCGUGAAGAGGGAAACAACCCAGACCGCCAGCUAAGGUCCCAAAGUCAUGGUUAAGUGGGAAACGAUGUGGGAAGGCCCAGACAGCCAGGAUGUUGGCUUAGAAGCAGCCAUCAUUUAAAGAAAGCGUAAUAGCUCACUGGUCGAGUCGGCCUGCGCGGAAGAUGUAACGGGGCUAAACCAUG
This 1259-nucleotide ribosomal RNA is filed under the name Salmonella enterica subsp. enterica serovar Give. Its description in RNAcentral is "partial 23S ribosomal RNA". It matches the Rfam family "Bacterial large subunit ribosomal RNA", at positions 1 to 1191 of the family's 2925-position model. The record is from RNAcentral. Lineage: Bacteria; Pseudomonadati; Pseudomonadota; Gammaproteobacteria; Enterobacterales; Enterobacteriaceae.